ACUCCUACGGGAGGCAGCAGUGGGGAAUAUUGCACAAUGGGGGAAACCCUGAUGCAGCCAUGCCGCGUGUGUGAAGAAGGCCUUCGGGUUGUAAAGCACUUUCAGUAGGGAGGAAGGUAGUGUAGUUAACACCUGCACUAUUUGACGUUACCUACAGAAGAAGCACCGGCUAACUCCGUGCCAGCAGCCGCGGUAAUACGGAGGGUGCGAGCGUUAAUCGGAAUUACUGGGCGUAAAGCGCAUGCAGGCGGCCUGUUAAGUCAGAUGUGAAAGCCCGGGGCUUAACCUCGGAAUUGCAUUUGAAACUGGCAGGCUAGAGUCUUGUAGAGGGGGGUAGAAUUUCAGGUGUAGCGGUGAAAUGCGUAGAGAUCUGAAGGAAUACCAGUGGCGAAGGCGGCCCCCUGGACAAAGACUGACGCUCAGAUGCGAAAGCGUGGGGAGCAAACAGGAUUAGAUACCCUGGUAGCACAGAG
This 473-nucleotide ribosomal RNA is filed under the name uncultured bacterium. RNAcentral's name for it is "bacterial SSU rRNA". It matches the Rfam family "Bacterial small subunit ribosomal RNA", at positions 335 to 799 of the family's 1533-position model. The record is from RNAcentral.